Molecule: transfer RNA, 66 nt
Filed under: Omophoita sp. REN-2018
Lineage: Eukaryota; Metazoa; Arthropoda; Insecta; Coleoptera; Chrysomelidae
Description: tRNA-Asp
Source: RNAcentral
AAAAAUUUAGUUAAUCUAAUAUAACAUUAGUUUGUCAAACUAAAAUAAUAAUUAUUAUAAUUUUUA